GAACCAACAAAACACAAUUUUCAUGACUAUGGUACCAUCAAAUCCGAUAAUUGUAUCACCAACAAUUUUAACUUCAAAGCUAAACUUAGUGAUUCCACAAAAUUUAAAAGACAAACUAAAAUUUUUUGCCGAAGUAUUUUUUGUGAAGAUCAAAAUGGAUCUUUACGCAAAAAUCAAUUGUUUUUUCCUUUCCUUUUUCCAUGGCAGAAAGCUUCAUGCCAAAGCUCCUUUUGUAGAGUAACUUUCCCGGACAUAGCUGAUAGAGUGGGCAAUUCUACCAAAAAACACCACACUGGUUCUAUAUGA
Non-coding RNA from Vicia faba (fava bean), 306 nucleotides. NCBI's taxonomy places the organism in Eukaryota, Viridiplantae, Streptophyta, Magnoliopsida, Fabales, Fabaceae. The record is from the annotation of a GenBank genome assembly.